Molecule: ribosomal RNA, 571 nt
Filed under: Balsamia sp.
Lineage: Eukaryota; Fungi; Ascomycota; Pezizomycetes; Pezizales; Helvellaceae
Description: eukaryotic LSU rRNA
Rfam family: 5.8S ribosomal RNA (bases 209-362)
Source: RNAcentral
UAAGGGUGGGCUCCGCAAUCCAUUCACCCUGACUGAGUACCUAUCCACGUUGCUUCCCCGGGGCAGCAGCUUGCCUGCCCUGGCCAUCCAUGUCGCCUUCUGGCAUGUGUAACUGGGAGUUUCCCGGGGAAGGUCCUUUGCAGAAUAAUAGUUGUUUCUACCAUUGUCUGAUGGGCCUUUGGCCUAUGAAAAAGAAAAAUAUGAACAAAACUUUCAACAACGGAUCUCUUGGUUCUCGCAUCGAURAAGAACGCAGCGAAUUGCGAUAAGUAAUGUGAAAUGCARAAUUCAGUGAAUCAUCGAAUCUUUGAACGCACAUUGCGCCCUCUGGCAUUCCGGAGGGCAUGCCUGUUUGAGCGUCUCAUGCAUCAAAAGUCACACACAUUGUUGUGGUCAUGGCAUACGUGGGGCCCSCCUUGUGCAACACCCACUGAGCUGAAAGUCAUAGGCGGAUGUCACCUGAGGUCAGCACGUAGUAUGUAAAGCAAGUCGUACUGAUCGCAGAGUGUGCCUCCUGCCCAGGCCGCCUGGCCGCUUGAAAUCUCAAUGCAUCCUCAGAUCAGGUAGGGAU